RNAcentral lists this ribosomal RNA (464 nucleotides) under Vreelandella stevensii. RNAcentral describes it as "partial 16S ribosomal RNA". It matches the Rfam family "Bacterial small subunit ribosomal RNA", at positions 338 to 795 of the family's 1533-position model. The record is from RNAcentral. Lineage: Bacteria; Pseudomonadati; Pseudomonadota; Gammaproteobacteria; Oceanospirillales; Halomonadaceae.
CCUACGGGGGGCAGCAGUGGGGAAUAUUGGACAAUGGGGGAACCCUGAUCCAGCCAUGCCGCGUGUGUGAAGAAGGCCCUCGGGUUGUAAAGCACUUUCAGUGAGGAAGAACGCCUGGUGGUUAAUACCCAUCAGGAAAGACAUCACUCACAGAAGAAGCACCGGCUAACUCCGUGCCAGCAGCCGCGGUAAUACGGAGGGUGCGAGCGUUAAUCGGAAUUACUGGGCGUAAAGCGCGCGUAGGUGGCUUGAUAAGCCGGUUGUGAAAGCCCCGGGCUCAACCUGGGAACGGCAUCCGGAACUGUCAAGCUAGAGUGCAGGAGAGGAAGGUAGAAUUCCCGGUGUAGCGGUGAAAUGCGUAGAGAUCGGGAGGAAUACCAGUGGCGAAGGCGGCCUUCUGGACUGACACUGACACUGAGGUGCGAAAGCGUGGGUAGCAAACAGGAUUAGAUACCCGAGUAGUC